RNAcentral lists this long non-coding RNA (822 nucleotides) under Citrus x clementina. Its description in RNAcentral is "Citrus clementina (C. clementina) long non-coding RNA (CCLE_LNC002016)". Lineage: Eukaryota; Viridiplantae; Streptophyta; Magnoliopsida; Sapindales; Rutaceae. The record is from RNAcentral.
ACCCCAUGUCAAACCACCGCACAAGCCCCCGUAUGUUCCUAAACCACCUUAUUCCCCAAGCCCUAAACCGCCUUACGUGCCAAAACCACCUCAUACUCCAGUCCCUAGGCCACCAUAUUUCCCCAAACCACCUUACACACCAAGGCCUAAGCCACCAUAUGCGCCAAAACCACCUUAUACGCCAACCCCUAAGCCACCAUAUUUCCCCAAACCACCUUACACACCAAGGCCGAAGCCACCAUAUGUGCCAAAACCACCUUAUACGCCAGCCCCUAAGCCACCAUAUUUUCCCAAACCACCUUACACACCAAGGCCUAAGCCACCAUAUGCACCAAAACCACCUUAUACGCCAACACCUAAGCCACCAUAUUUCCCCAAACCACCUUACACACCAAGGCCUAAGCCACCGUACGUGCCAAAACCACCGUACACACCAAGGCCUAAGCCACCGUACGUGCCAAAACCACCAUACACACCAACCCCUAAGCCACCGUACGUGCCAAAACCACCUUACACCCCAACCCCUAAGCCACCGUACGUGCCAAAACCACCGUAUACCCCAACUCCUAAGCCACCGUACGUCCCAUCGCCACCUUAUACCCCUCGCCCUAAACCACCGUAUGUACCAUCACCACCUUAUACCCCUAGCCCUAAACCACCGUAUGUGCCAUCACCACCAUAUACCCCAAGCCCUACCCCACCAUAUGUACCAUCACCACCGUAUACCCCAAGCCCACCAUAUGUACCAUCACCACCGUAUACCCCAAGCCCUAGCCCACCACCACCACCAAGUGGAACACCGUGUCCUCCGCCGCCGCCACC